UACGUAGGGUGCGAGCGUUGUCCGGAAUUACUGGGCGUAAAGAGCUUGUAGGCGGUCUGUCGCGUCGAUUGUGAAAACUCACGGCUCAACCGUGAGCUUGCAGUCGAUACGGGCAGACUAGAGUACUGCAGGGGAGACUGGAAUUCCUGGUGUAGCGGUGAAAUGCGCAGAUAUCAGGAGGAACACCGGUGGCGAAGGCGGGUCUCUGGGCAGUAACUGACGCUGAGAAGCGAAAGCGUGGGUAGCGAACAGGAUUAGAUACCCUGGUAGUCCACGCCGUAAACGGUGGGUACUAGGUGUGGGUUUCCUUCCACGGGAUCCGUGCCGUAGCUAACGCAUUAAGUACCCCGCCUGGGGAGUACGGCCGCAAGGCUAAA
RNAcentral lists this ribosomal RNA (377 nucleotides) under uncultured bacterium. RNAcentral's name for it is "bacterial SSU rRNA". It matches the Rfam family "Bacterial small subunit ribosomal RNA", at positions 524 to 898 of the family's 1533-position model. The record is from RNAcentral.